GACGAACGCUGGCGGCGUGCCUAAUACAUGCAAGUAGAACGCUGAAGGAGGAGCUUGCUUCUCUGGAUGAGUUGCGAACGGGUGAGUAACGCGUAGGUAACCUGCCUGGUAGCGGGGGAUAACUUUUGGAAACGAUAGCUAAUACCGCAUAAGAGUAGAUGUUGCAUGACAUUUGCUUAAAAGGUGCAAUUGCUUCUCUACCAGAUGGCCCUGAGUUGUAUUAGCUAUGGGGUGGGCUAACGGCUGACCAAGGCGACGUUAGCUAACCGACCUGACAGGGGGCUCUGCCACGCUGGGACUGAGACACGGCCCAGACUCCUGCGGGAGGCAGCAGUAGGGAAUCUUCGGCGAUGGACGGAAGUCUGACCAAGCGACGCCGCGUGAGUGAAGAAGGUUGUCGGAUCGUAAAGCUCUGUUGUAAGAGAAGAUCGAGUGUGAGAGUGGAAAGUUCACACUGUGACGGUAUCUGACCAGAAAGCGACGGCUAACUACGUG
RNAcentral lists this ribosomal RNA (495 nucleotides) under uncultured bacterium. RNAcentral describes it as "partial 16S ribosomal RNA". It matches the Rfam family "Bacterial small subunit ribosomal RNA", at positions 28 to 507 of the family's 1533-position model. The record is from RNAcentral.